UACCAUCUUUUUUCGCUACCUACAAACGAUCCUAGAUAAAGGAAAAGAAAAAGGUAAAAAGCGAGUAAUACAAAUUUUCGAUGGAAAAACGAAGGAAAGGCGAAAGACAAAAGGGCCGAUGAAUGAAUUUCAAAAGAUAAUAGAGACUCGCCUACCCUUUAGACGUCCAGCAUACCGUCAAUGAUUGCAAAAAUACGAAGGACGCUCUGCCAGCUGAAUAAUGACGUUUCAUCUCUGGAAAAAUUGAAUUCUUUCAAUUUAUUUUCGAUUUCAAUUCCGCCCGCAAAGGUACGCGCGAGCCAUUUGUCGUCGUUGCUUGUCGGUGUGCAGCUGAACCGCAUAAAAGCACUCCAUUCGUUCGCGGUCGUAAUAUACCAGCAACGGCCCUCCGAUGGAUUAAACAUUGACGAGAGAACUUUUUAAAGCGGAUUCUGGGAACCACGCCCGAUAGGUGUAAAAUAUGUAGCUACAACGGAGUGUUGGUCAGGACGGAUGAAAAAGUUGACUGAGAUAGGACGCGCGAGCGAGAGAGGGCCGCGUGUGUGUACACAGGGUGUCGCAUUUGAACGAAUCACAAAAAUAUCGUACAAUACGGAUGCGGAUUUUGCGACGAUAUAUUUAUUUGAAACGUAAAAUGAGAAUAACAAAUAUUCUCGUUACGUGAUAUCAUCUUUUUCAAUAGCUUUCGACCUGCAACCUUCGACGGAUCAUCUUAAAUGAACCAUCCUGUACAGAAAUGAAAGGACAAAAAAAAAAGGAGAAGGGAAACGUAGCGAUAUCGAGAGGAUCGAAACGCAUUCUGCGUUCGCUUUAAUGACAGAUAAUGCAGGUAUUAUACGGGCGACCGAUGUUCACGAUCGAUCUCUAUAUAUCCGCGCGUGAUUGCAUUAAUCGGCUUAACGGUCGUGCAUACAUCGCCAAAUAAAUUGGCCGUGAUCGACGUUUAGUCGUGCACCCCCUACGGACGACCGUAUUCGUACCCUCAUCGUUUCUCUCGACGUAAUCGUCACUAUGUUUCCCGAAAAGGAAAGAAAAAAAAAAAAAAAGAAAAAAAAAGGAAAGAACUUUAGUACCAUUUUUUCGAGCCCAGCUAAAUUAUUUUUAUCCCAUUACUCGAUCGGCGAAAUACGAUCCGCGAGAUUUCGCGGAUGUAUACGUUCGGAGUCCUCGAAUCGUGAGCUUGACAAAUACAAGAUUAUGAUAUUAAUAGAAAGUUUCUAGUAGAAUUAAUGUCAUUAGAUUUCACCAGUGAUAUAUCGAACGGACUUUAUCGCACGUAGAUAAGUACGAAUGUACAUUGCACGUACAUACAUAUUUACGAAGCGAAGCUUUCGAAAUCGAGAAAGGAAACGUCUGUUUGUUCGUACGUUUGUACAGAAGAUUAAGUCACGGUAUAACUACGGCAAAGUGUCAGAUAAUAAAUCGACGAGACAACUGUUCUAACGUAAGACCAGAACGGGACAUCAGUAAGGAGGCACGAAAACUUGCUCGCUGGUUUCAGAUGGCAGCCAGUUACGGGUAGAGCUUCUUAUUGCAUAAUUUUCUAAGUGGCCAAGAGCUUUGUCUUUAUCACAAACUCGCUACACGGAAUGUUGUUUCGCUUCUCUGUUAAUUAACUAAUUAUAAGACCGAACGUUCACGGACGCGCUCUGAGCUUUAGCCCUGCGAGUCGUCUGCAUUGCUCGUAUUCUCCUUUAAACUUCUCCAGAAUUAUAUUAUAUAAGAGAGAUCUACGAAUCGCGUUUGGACGAAUUUGACGAUUUUCUUGCUUCGAAGUUGUGUAAUUAAUCUUUUAGCCUGAUUAAUCGAAUUUCUCUUAUUGCGCUACAUCAAAAUGAAACUCUAUAGAAAUAUUCCCUAUGUAAGUCGAAUUUAUAUGUUCUGAUGAAAUCGCAAACGGUGCACCAACCCGUAACCCGUUAACAGCAAUCGAUACGCGGACACAUCGGGAGACUUGAAAAGUAGCAAGGAGCAUAAGUUGAUCCCUCGCACGUGCAGCGUAUGCAGAAUCGAACACAAGACGGUGGUGGUUCUAUUUUAGGUGUCGGACAUUCGUAUUUUACUCGACAGGGUCGUAUCGGACAUGGUCCCGCUACGCAUACGGUCGGUGGCGGUGGUGGAGGACAAGGCCGUUCUCUGCAGAUCUAUAAAUUCAUUAUACUCGGUUAGAGAUCGGAAAUGUUUUCCUAGAAACAUCUUAAAUCACUCGAAACGAUUAAUUAACCAUUAUCGUUCAUUUCCUUUCUAAAGAUCUUUUAAUUAUCCAUUAAUAGAUCUUUUACGAAUAGUGCUUGCUAUUUUAUUACUUCGAUAUUUAAUUUUGUCAACGAGAUGGUAAAACUUGAAAAGUUAAAUAAUUUAUAAUAAUUAUACGCAUGAGAAAGAAAAAGUAUAAAGGUAUUUGAACCUUUUGAAAACAAGAUGUACGUAUAUUAUUCUAACGAGCUAAUCGUUAUAUUAACGAGAAUAGGAAAAAACGGUGUUAGAAGCGUCCCAAUGCUUUCGGUGAAUGAUCUCGAGUGCAAAUUGCAUUUAUCAACACAUUUCACAAAAAGUGGAUAGACGUACUAAUGGCAAGCACGUGGGAGGAGGAGGGCAGCAUCGCUUAGGUGGACACUGCUGCAUCGGUGGACAACCAUCCUUUGGACAGCAAAACGGCGCUGGUCUUAUAUGACAGCACGGCGGGGGUAAAGUGCUCGUACGCCUUGCCUCUCCACAGCUACUCUGACAAGACAUUUUUCUUCUUAUACAAUACUACGGAGCUAAAGGAAAUAUCCUUGUUGAAACUUCCUCCCAGAUUUACGAUCAAGCUUUUAUGACGGAGAAAGAAAAACCCAUGAGAAACCUGGACGAGUAUUAAUUACUGGCUACAUUUUGAAAAAAGUUCUUUGAUAAACUGAUGCUUCGUCCUUGUCGUCUAUAUGCGUCUGCUUGCCUUUGUCUUUUCCUUCUUCUUUUUUUUUUUUCCUUUUUUUCUUCUUUUUUUGCAUUCGACUAUUUCGAGAUAAAAUUACAUACUUCAGAUAAGUGUCCGUAAAUCCUGCUUUUUUCUCGUUUUCCACUCAUUCUUCCGUGAAUUUUUAUAUUAAAACGAUGUCACUUUUUUCUUUAUUAACUUGGAUGAAAAAUUAUAUUCCGCUUUUAGGAACAACUUUUGAGAACUGGAUUUCCACAACAGUCGUACCACUUUAGACAGCAACACGUCUUUCGAAUUGGUUUCGGACAAAGAUAACAAUUUGGUAUAGUUGGACGAUAACAGGGCGCAUAAGUCGAUCUGUAUAACCAGAAAAAAUCGUACACGACUUUUUGUCCAAAUGUAUAUAUAAAUUGAAAGGUUAAAGAAAGAAAAAAUGCAUCGAUAAAAACUUGUCGUUUAUAUAUCGAUAUCUAUUCGUUUACCUGUCACAUGUGUACGUCAGUUGAAAUUGAACGCUGGACUGUCCGCAAGUUGGUGUCCGACAAGAUGAACACGGUGGACACGGUGGACAAGCUGGAUCAUUACAAGAUUGUUUCUCAAUGCAACGCGAUGGAACGGAAGGUGGAUGUACGACGAGAGCUUCCGCGAAAGUCAAUGCCAUCUUGGUUGAAACGAUUGCUAAGUUAUACAGCAGCGCGGAAGUUUGCAGCGGAUAAAAGAAAAGAAAAAAAAAAAAAAAAAAAAAAAAAAAAAAAAAAAAGACAAAACAACAAAACGAAAGAACAAACGCAAACAUUCAUGCGUCUGUUCCAUUCCGCAUAAUUUUCAUUCGCUAUCGCAAGAAAAUAAUGAUCCAGGAGACGCUGUAUCUUACUUACAUACGUACAAAAAAAAGACGAUUUCGUAAUCACAACAGACAUUAUAUAAUAAACCGUAUCUUUACAGGGGCAGAUACAUUGUAAAAUGAACAAGGAUAUCUUUUACGAAAUAUACACGCAUUAAGUUGUACGUUUGAUCCAGGAAUCGAUCGGCAACAUUAUGUACAAUACAACCACGAAAGAGUGCAUAACGAUAAUCGUCGCCGAAUCAGCAGCCAACGUGGUUGCACUUUCGAAUUUGGCACGCGGUACGUUUACUUUGCCCGUCGAUUUGCAUUUAGGUGUCCCUUUUUUUGCACUGUAUUUUUUCACUUUUCCAAGAGUCGGGACGUCUAAACGCGCAAUGCUCUCGCUUCCUGAUAUAUUUCAUAAAAAUAAGACGGGAGAUGAGAGAAGAAAGAAUUUUAACAAAGAAAAAAAAAGA
Molecule: long non-coding RNA, 4219 nt
Organism: Vespa velutina
Lineage: Eukaryota; Metazoa; Arthropoda; Insecta; Hymenoptera; Vespidae
Exons: 2
Source: RefSeq, a predicted model, not a curated record